GGGCUCACACAAGCGGUGGAGGAUGUGGCUUAAUUCGAGGCAACGCGAAGAACCUUAUCCUGGAUUUGACAUGUAUGGAUUAACUCUGUGAAAGCAGAGCCACGCCUUCGGGUGGAACAUACACAGGUGCUGCAUGGCUGUCGUCAGCUCGUGUCGUGAGACGUCGCGUUAAGUCGCUUAACGAGCGCAACCCUUGUCCUUAGUUGCCAGCACGUAAUGGUGGGGACUCUAAGGAGACUGCCGGUGUUAAACCGGAGGAAGGCGGGGACGACGUCAAGUCAUCAUGGCCUUUAUGUCCAGGGCUGCACACGUCCUACAAUGCAAGCAUACAAAGGGCAGCGAACCCGCGAGGGUAAGCAAA
RNAcentral lists this ribosomal RNA (361 nucleotides) under uncultured bacterium. RNAcentral describes it as "bacterial SSU rRNA". It matches the Rfam family "Bacterial small subunit ribosomal RNA", at positions 917 to 1271 of the family's 1533-position model. The record is from RNAcentral.